CUACGGGGUGCUGCAGCCGCGAAAACUUUACAAUGCACGAAAGUGUGAUAAGGGAAUCCAAAGUGCUCAUGUUUUUACAUGGGCUUUUGCCAAGAGUAAAUAUCUUGGAGAAUAAGUGAUGGGUAAGACUGGUGCCAGCAGCCGCGGUAACACCAGCGUCACGAGUGGGAAUCAUAUUUAUUUGGCCUAAAGCGUCCGUAGCCGGUUUGGUAAAUUCAUGGUGAAAUCAUUGUGCUCAACGCAAUGGCGUGCAGUGAACACUGCCAGACUUGAGACUGGGAGGAGUCAGAAGUAUUCUUGGGGGAGCGGUAAAAUGCUAUAAUCCCAAGAGGACUACCUGUGGCGAAGGCGUCUGACUAGUACAGUUCUGACGGUGAGGGACGAAAGCUAGGGGAGCGAUCCGGAUUAGAUACCCUUGUAGUC
RNAcentral lists this ribosomal RNA (423 nucleotides) under uncultured archaeon. Its description in RNAcentral is "partial 16S ribosomal RNA". It matches the Rfam family "Archaeal small subunit ribosomal RNA", at positions 323 to 746 of the family's 1478-position model. The record is from RNAcentral.